Molecule: small RNA, 622 nt
Filed under: Pongo abelii (Sumatran orangutan)
Lineage: Eukaryota; Metazoa; Chordata; Mammalia; Primates; Hominidae
Description: retained intron
Source: RNAcentral
GAGUGACUCAGCUUCUGUCUCUCGAGCUGGGCUUUUCCGUCAGGGCCUGUGGCUGGGAUUCUCCUUUGAAAGGUCAGUGUCUGCUUGGGGGUGGGGGCAGGCCAGCACUCAGUGUUUGCUUCCCCAGGCCAGCUGGAGGUGAUCUUGGACCGGCGGCUGAUGCAGGAUGACAACCGGGGCCUAGGCCAAGGGCUCAAGGACAACAAGAGAACCUGCAACCGUUUCCGCCUCCUGCUAGAGCGGCGAACCGUGGGCAGCGAGGUCCAAGAUAGUCACUCUACCAGCUACCCAUCCCUCCUCAGCCACCUGACCUCCAUGUACCUGAACACCCCGGCGCUCGCUCUGCCUGUAGCCAGGACGCAGCUCCCAGGCCCUGGUCUGCGCUCAUUUCAUCCUCUGGCUUCCUCACUGCCCUGUGACUUCCACCUGCUCAACCUACGUACGCUCCAGGCUGAGGAGGACACCCUACCCUCGGCGGAGACCGCACUCAUCUUACACCGCAAGGGUUUUGACUGCGGCCUGGAGGCCAAGAACUUGGGCUUCAACUGCACCACAAGCCAAGGCAAGGUAGCCCUGGGGAGCCUGUUCCAUGGCCUGGAUGUGGUAUUCCUUCAGCCAACCU